CUCGGUCAGGUUGUCAUCCUGUAGGUGUGUGCCAUCCCCACCUAUGUGUUUUUUCACCCAGGAGCGUAAUUGUAGGUAAGUAAAAUAUGCUUUGGAAGGUAAAUUAAACGUUUUGGAUAUCGAGUCAUAGUCCAUUAAGCGGCCUUUUGACAUUAUCUGGGAUAGACAGGUAAUUCCGCUAUUGUACCAUAUGUUAUAGUCAAAUCCAGGAAUGAGGACAUGAAACGCUUGGAUUUGUAGUGCCGGGGAAAUAUAGGUGGUAUGGUAGUGUUCUUUAACGUAUCUAUCCCAUAUUAGGAGUGUUGCUGCGGUGGUGGGGCAUAUGUUCUGGUAUUUUGGUCGGCUAUGCUUGGGGAUCCAAGCUAGGGUUGAUGCCGCUAUCCCGUCGGUGUGUGCUGUUUCUAUUUGGUGCCAUGGAGGUGGUGUAGUAUGAUGGAAGGUCAUUAGAAGAGUGCCCAUUAGGGCCGCUAUGUAGUAUCUGGUUAUAUCUGGGGCCCCCAUCCCACCCUCUUUAAAGGGCUUAUACAUGGUGGCCGCUGCAAUCCUGGGUCGUUUACCUCCCCAGAUGAACCCGUUUAGCAUGCUUUGGGCCUCUGUAAAGAAUGUCUUUGGCAGGCCUAUCUGUAGUGUUCUGAAUAAAUACUGGAGUUUGGGCAGUACCAUCAUUUUUGCUGCCGCUAUCCUACCAGUCCACGAGAUGUAUUUCCCUUUCCAGCUGUGCAGCUGUUGUUUGAUGUUAC
Non-coding RNA from Pelobates cultripes (western spadefoot toad), 740 nucleotides. The record is from the annotation of a GenBank genome assembly. NCBI's taxonomy places the organism in Eukaryota, Metazoa, Chordata, Amphibia, Anura, Pelobatidae.